ACAGUCAGGGUCCAGGUGAAUAGCCCCGAUUUGAAGAUCGGGGCUUUUUGUUAUCUGCACGUUAGCAUCCAUUAGGAUGCACAUUCACUGGGCUGCGAGCCCUUUUUUU
RNAcentral lists this small RNA (109 nucleotides) under Candidatus Oceanisphaera merdipullorum. Its description in RNAcentral is "Gammaprotebacteria rimP leader". It matches the Rfam family "Gammaprotebacteria rimP leader", at positions 17 to 102 of the family's 102-position model. The record is from RNAcentral. Lineage: Bacteria; Pseudomonadati; Pseudomonadota; Gammaproteobacteria; Aeromonadales; Aeromonadaceae.